This 29-nucleotide ribosomal RNA is filed under the name Cercospora canescens. Its description in RNAcentral is "partial 28S ribosomal RNA". Lineage: Eukaryota; Fungi; Ascomycota; Dothideomycetes; Mycosphaerellales; Mycosphaerellaceae. The record is from RNAcentral.
GUGACCUCGGAUCAGGUAGAAGCCCAGUA